This 22-nucleotide microRNA is filed under the name Echinococcus granulosus. RNAcentral describes it as "egr-miR-10232-5p". Lineage: Eukaryota; Metazoa; Platyhelminthes; Cestoda; Cyclophyllidea; Taeniidae. The record is from miRBase by way of RNAcentral.
CCUCCAUUUCCGGUUCGAAUGG